GACGAACGCUGGCGGCGUGCUUAACACAUGCAAGUCGAACGGAAAGGCCCUGCUUUUGUGUGGUGCUCGAGUGGCGAACGGGUGAGUAACACGUGAGUAACCUGCCCUUGACUUUGGGAUAACUUCAGGAAACUGGGGCUAAUACCGGAUAGGAGCUCCUGCUGCAUGGUGGGGGUUGGAAAGUUUCGGCGGUUGGGGAUGGACUCGCGGCUUAUCAGCUUGUUGGUGGGGUAGUGGCUUACCAAGGCUUUGACGGGUAGCCGGCCUGAGAGGGUGACCGGCCACAUUGGGACUGAGAUACGGCCCAGACUCCUACGGGAGGCAGCAGUGGGGAAUAUUGCACAAUGGGCGGAAGCCUGAUGAAGCAACGCCGCGUGCGGGAUGACGGCCUUCGGGUUGUAAACCGCUUUCGCCUGUGACGAAGCGUGAGUGACGGUAAUGGGUAAAGAAGCACCGGCUAACUACGUG
RNAcentral lists this ribosomal RNA (468 nucleotides) under uncultured bacterium. RNAcentral's name for it is "partial 16S ribosomal RNA". It matches the Rfam family "Bacterial small subunit ribosomal RNA", at positions 28 to 507 of the family's 1533-position model. The record is from RNAcentral.